This 1724-nucleotide long non-coding RNA is filed under the name Arabidopsis thaliana (thale cress). RNAcentral's name for it is "long non-coding RNA (ATHA_LNC000112)". Lineage: Eukaryota; Viridiplantae; Streptophyta; Magnoliopsida; Brassicales; Brassicaceae. The record is from RNAcentral.
UGGAGUUUUUAUAGGUGGUAUUGCAACUGGUGGUUUUGCAACAGGAGAAGUUGCAAUUGGUGGUGUUGCGGUGGGCGGUGUUGCAACUGGCGGUUUUGCGAUGGGUGGAGUUGCUAUUGGUGGAGUUGCAACAGGAGGUUUUGCGGGUGGUGGAGUUGUGAUAGGUGGUGUUGCGGCUGGUGGUGUUGCAACUGGUGGUUUUGAAAUAGGAGGAGUUAAGAUUGGUGGCUUUGCGGUAGGUGGAGUUGCUAUUGGUGGUGUUGCAACCGGUGGUUUUGCAACAGGUGGAGUUGCGGUGGGCGGUGCUGUAGUGGGUGGUGUUGCAACUGGUGGUUUUGCAAUAGGAGGAGUUGCAACUGGUGGUGUCGCGGUGGGCGGUGUUGCAACCGGUGAUUUUGCAAUAGGAGGAGUUGCAAUAGGUGGUGUUGCGGUGGGCGGUGUUACAACUGGGGGUUUUGCGACGGGUGGAAUUGCUAUCGGUGGAGUUGCAAUAGGCGGUUUUGCGGUAGGUGGAGUUGCUAUUGGUGGCAUUGCAACAGGUGGAGUUGCAGUAGGCGGUAUUGUCGUUGGAGGUUUUGCAAUAGGAGGAGUUGCAACUGGUGGAGUUGCGGUGGGCGGUGUUACAACCGGUGGUGUUGCAAUAGGAGGAGUUGCAAUAGGUGGAGUUGCGGUGGGCGGUGUUGCAACUGGCGGUUUUGCGACGGGUGGAGUUGCUAUUGGUGGAAUUGCAACAGGCGGUUUUGCAGGUGGUGGAGUUUUUAUAGGUGGUGUUGCAACUGGUGGUUUUGCAACAGGAGAAGUUGCAAUUGGUGGUGUUGCGGUGGGCGGUGUUGCAACUGGCGGUUUUGCGAUGGGUGGAGUUGCUAUUGGUGGAGUUGCAACAGGAGGUUUUGCGGGUGGUGGAGUUGUGAUAGGUGGUGUUGCGGCUGGUGGUGUUGCAACUGGUGAUUUUGAAAUAGGAGGAGUUGAGAUUGGUGGCUUUGCGGUAGGUGGAGUUGCUAUUGGUGGUGUUGCAACCGGUGGUUUUGCAACAGGUGGAGUUGCGGUGGGCGGUGUUGUAGUUGGUGGUGUUACAACUGGUGGUUUUGCAAUAGGAGGAGUUGCAACUGGUGGUGUCGCGGUGGGCGGUGUUGCAACCGGUGAUUUUGCAAUAGGAGGAGUUGCAAUAGGUGGUGUUGCGGUGGGCGGUGUUACAACUGGGGGUUUUGCGACGGGUGGAAUUGCUAACGGUGGAGUUGCAACAGGUGGUUUUACUGGUGUUGGAGUUGUUAUAGGUGGUGUUGCGGCUGGUGGUGUUGCAACUGGUGGUUUUGAAAUAGGAGGAGUUGAGAUUGGUGGCUUUGCGGUAGGUGGAGUUGCUAUUGGUGGUGUUUCAACUGGUGGUUUUGCAACAGGUGGAGUUGCGGUGGGCGGUGUUGUAGUGGGUGGUGUUGCAACCGGUGGUUUUUCAAUAGGAGGAGUUGCAACUGGUGGAGUCGCAGUGGGCGGUGUUGCAAUUGGCGAUUUUGCGAUGGGUGGAGUUGCAACAGGUGGUUUUGCGGGUGGUGGAGUUUUUAUUGGUGAUGUUGCGGUUGGUGGUGUUGCAACUGGUGAUUCUGAAAUAGGAGGAGUUGAGAUAGGUGAUUUUGAGGUAGGUGGAGUUGCUAUUGGUGGUGUUGCAACAGGUGGAGUUGCGGUGGGCGGUGUUGCAACUGGUGGCUGUGCAAUUGGAGUGACGGGUGGAG